RNAcentral lists this ribosomal RNA (383 nucleotides) under uncultured Anaerolineaceae bacterium. RNAcentral describes it as "bacterial SSU rRNA". It matches the Rfam family "Bacterial small subunit ribosomal RNA", at positions 986 to 1382 of the family's 1533-position model. The record is from RNAcentral. Lineage: Bacteria; Bacillati; Chloroflexota; Anaerolineae; Anaerolineales; Anaerolineaceae.
AUGCAGAUGGUAGUGAAGAGAAUUGGAACGACCCUUCGGGAGUCUGCGACAGGUGUUGCAUGGCUGUCGUCAGCUCGUGCCGUGAGGUGUUCGGUUAAGUCCGCUAACGAGCGCAACCCUUGCUGUAUGUUACAAGUGUCAUACGGGACUGCCGGUGAGAAGCCGGAGGAAGGUGAGGAUGACGUCAAGUCAGCAUGACCUUUAUGUCCUGGGCUACACACACGCUACAAUGGGCAGCACAACAGGUAGCGAAGCCGCGAGGCGGAGCCAAUCCUCCAAAGCUGUCCUCAGUUCAGAUUGCAGGCUGCAACUCGCCUGCAUGAAGAUGGAGUUGCUAGUAAACGCGCGUCAGCUAUAGUGCGUUGAAUACGUUCCCGGGUCUU